UCCUUAGUACGAGAGGACCGGGAUGGACACACCGCUGGUGUACCAGUCACACCGCUGGUGUACCAGUUGUCUUGCCAAAGGCAUCGCUGGGUAGCUAUGUGUGGACGGGAUAAGUGCUGAAAGCAUCUAAGCAUGAAGCCCCCCUCAAGAUGAGAUUUCCCAUAGCGCAAGCUAGUAAGAUCCCUGAAAGAUGAUCAGGUUGAUAGGUCAGAGGUGGAAGCGUGGCGACAUGUGUAGCUGACUGAUACUAAUCGAUCGAGGACUUAACCAAAC
This 273-nucleotide ribosomal RNA is filed under the name Priestia megaterium. RNAcentral's name for it is "Bacillus megaterium partial 23S ribosomal RNA". It matches the Rfam family "Bacterial large subunit ribosomal RNA", at positions 2675 to 2925 of the family's 2925-position model. Lineage: Bacteria; Bacillati; Bacillota; Bacilli; Caryophanales; Bacillaceae. The record is from RNAcentral.